RNAcentral lists this small RNA (127 nucleotides) under Marmota monax (woodchuck). The record is from RNAcentral. Lineage: Eukaryota; Metazoa; Chordata; Mammalia; Rodentia; Sciuridae.
GCUGGGUAUGGUGGCAUAUACCUGUAAUCCCAAUGGCUUGGGAGGCUGAGGCAGGAGGAUUGCAAGUUCAAGACCAACCUCAGCAAUUUAGUGAGGCCCUAAGCUAUUUAGCAAGACCCUCUCUCAA